This 492-nucleotide ribosomal RNA is filed under the name uncultured bacterium. RNAcentral's name for it is "partial 16S ribosomal RNA". It matches the Rfam family "Bacterial small subunit ribosomal RNA", at positions 29 to 507 of the family's 1533-position model. The record is from RNAcentral.
AGUGAACGCUGGCGGUAGGCCUAACACAUGCCAGUCGAACGGCCGCACAGUAAGAGCUUGCUCUUACGGGUGGCGAGUGGCGGACGGGUGAGGAAUACAUCGGAAUCUACUUUUUCGUGGGGGAUAACGUAGGGAAACUUACGCUAAUACCGCAUACGACCUACGGGUGAAAGCAGGGGAUCUUCGGACCUUGCGCGAUUGAAUGAGCCGAUGUCGGAUUAGCUAGUUGGCGGGGUAAAGGCCCACCAAGGCGACGAUCCGUAGCUGGUCUGAGAGGAUGAUCAGCGACACUGGAACUGAGACACGGUCCAGACUCCUACGGGAGGCAGCAGUGGGGAAUAUUGGACAAUGGGCGCAAGCCUGAUCCAGCCAUACCGCGUGGGUGAAGAAGGCCUUCGGGUUGUAAAGCCCUUUUGUUGGGAAAGAAAAGCAGCAGGUUAAUACCCCGCUGUUCUGACGGUACCCAAAGAAUAAGCACCGGCUAACUUCGUG